This 72-nucleotide transfer RNA is filed under the name Blattella germanica (German cockroach). Its description in RNAcentral is "tRNA-Pro (TGG) (tRNA-Pro-TGG-10-1)". It matches the Rfam family "tRNA". From Rfam's summary of the family: Transfer RNA (tRNA) molecules are approximately 80 nucleotides in length. Lineage: Eukaryota; Metazoa; Arthropoda; Insecta; Blattodea; Blattellidae. The record is from RNAcentral.
GGCUCAGUGGUCUAGGGGUAUGAUUCCUGCUUUGGGUGCAGUAGGUCCCGGGUUCAAAUCCCGGCUGAGCCC